This is a long non-coding RNA of Triticum aestivum (bread wheat), 663 nucleotides long. RefSeq lists it as uncharacterized. The transcript has 2 exons. The record is from RefSeq and is a predicted model, not a curated record. Lineage: Eukaryota; Viridiplantae; Streptophyta; Magnoliopsida; Poales; Poaceae.
GCGACGCCUCUCCUUCCUCUGUACUCUAGCACCUACAGGAAGAUAAACAUAUGUACAGGAAGAGAAACUACCAAGCACUCACGCAUGAAGCUGCCUCCUGCCCUCCUCCAUAAUUUCCGUAAGUGUCCAUCGUUUCCAAACGCACAGGGACCUGCGCCUCAAUCUCCUCCCUCGUUUCCCUCGGCCCUCUGCCAUCUCUUCUCCAUCCUCCCAGAGAACUCCUCCCAAAGAAACGGUGUUCCAUGGACGUCAGUCCUCGAUUCCAUUGAAGGAGACCAUCCCCAUCCAUGCCCUUGCGCCAGAAGGUUCCCCUCCACACCAUCAUUCCAUUCAGGGAAGAAGGAACGCGUCCCAUCGAUCGAUCACACACGGAGAAUUCUGCAUGUUCGCGUACACUGUUAAUCAAGUUCGUCGCAACGUACCGUCAAACCCGAGUUACAUGAAGACGAAGGUGAUGACCACGACUACUAUGGCGACCCGUAAGAGUGAGGUCACGUGGACUACAUCGACUGCCUGUGGCUGAGAUGGAGUCGCUACGCAUUGUACUUUCCGCUGUUUUUCUGAAUGUAAUAAAUAUCAUGAGACAUUUCUCUAGGUAUGCCUUGUGGCAAGAUAUAUUUAAAUUUGUAAUACCUUUUACGUAUUGUGCGAUGAUAUCAUUUC